UGGGGAAUAUUGCACAAUGGGCGGAAGCCUGAUGCAGCAACGCCGCGUGAGUGAUGAAGGCCUUCGGGUUGUAAAGCUCUGUCUUUUGGGACGAUAAUGACGGUACCAAAGGAGGAAGCCACGGCUAACUACGUGCCAGCAGCCGCGGUAAUACGUAGGUGGCAAGCGUUGUCCGGAUUUACUGGGCGUAAAGGAUGCGUAGGCGGAUUUUUAAGUGAGAUGUGAAAUACCGGCGUAUACUUGGGUGCUGCAUUUCAAACUGGGAAUCUAGAAGUGCGGGAGAGGAGAAUGGAAUUCCUAGUGUAGCGGUGAAAUGCGUAGAAGAUUAGGAAGAACACCAGUGGCGAAGGCGAUUCUCUGGACCGUAACUGACGCUGAGGCAUGAAAGCGUGGGUAGCAAACAGGAUUAGAUACCUCGUAGUCCACGCCGUAAACGAUGAGUACUAGGUGUAGGAGGUAUCGACCCCUUCUGUGCCGC
This 478-nucleotide ribosomal RNA is filed under the name uncultured bacterium. RNAcentral's name for it is "partial 16S ribosomal RNA". It matches the Rfam family "Bacterial small subunit ribosomal RNA", at positions 355 to 849 of the family's 1533-position model. The record is from RNAcentral.